UAAUACAUGCAAGUCGAACGAAUCUCUUUUAGAGAUGAGUGGCGAACGGGUGAGUAAUACAUAGGUAACCUGCCCCUGUGCGGGGGAUAACAGGAGGAAACUCCUGCUAAUACCGCAUAGCCAUGAGCACCGCAUGGAGCUCAUGCCAAAUAUCCUUUAUGGGAUAGCGCAGGGAUGGACCUAUGGCGCAUUAGCUGGUUGGCGGGGCAACGGCCCACCAAGGCAACGAUGCGUAGCCGGCUGAGAGGGCGGACGGCCACAUUGGGACUGUGACACGGCCCAGACUCAUACGGGAGGCAGCAGUAGGGAAUUUUCGGCAAUGGGGGAAACCCUGACCGAGCAACGCCGCGUGAGCGAAGAAGGCCUUCGGGUCGUAAAGCUCUGUUGUAAAGGAAGAACGGCGCAUACAGGAAAUGGUAUGCGAGUGACGGUACUUUACCAGAAAGCCACGGCUAACUACGUGCCAGCAGCCGCGGUAAUACGUAGGUGGCGAGCGUUAUCCGGAAUCAUUGGGCGUAAAGAGGGAGCAGGCGGCCGCAAGGGUCUGUGGUGAAAGCCCGAAGCUAAACUUCGGUAAGCCAUGGAAACCGGGCGGCUAGAGUGCGGAAGAGGAUCGUGGAAUUCCAUGUGUAGCGGUGAAAUGCGUAGAUAUAUGGAGGAACACCAGUGGCGAAGGCGACGGUCUGGGCCGCAACUGACGCUCAUUCCCGAAAGCGUGGGGAGCAAAUAGGAUUAGAUACCCUAGUAGUCCACGCCGUAAACGAUGGUCACUAAGUGUCGGGGGUCAAACCCCGGUGCUGCAGUCAACGCAAUAAGUGACCCGCCUGAGUAGUACGUUCGCAAGAAUGAA
This 850-nucleotide ribosomal RNA is filed under the name uncultured bacterium. RNAcentral's name for it is "bacterial SSU rRNA". It matches the Rfam family "Bacterial small subunit ribosomal RNA", at positions 49 to 898 of the family's 1533-position model. The record is from RNAcentral.